RNAcentral lists this ribosomal RNA (301 nucleotides) under uncultured bacterium. Its description in RNAcentral is "partial 16S ribosomal RNA". It matches the Rfam family "Bacterial small subunit ribosomal RNA", at positions 509 to 807 of the family's 1533-position model. The record is from RNAcentral.
CAGCCGCCGCGGGAAUACGUAGGUGGCAAGCGUUGUCCGGAAUUAUUGGGCGUAAAGGGCUCGCAGGCGGUUUCUUAAGUCUGAUGUGAAAGCCCCCGGCUCAACCGGGGAGGGUCAUUGGAUACUGGGAAACUUGAGUGCAGAAGAGGAGAGUGGAAUUCCACGUGUAGCGGUGAAAUGCGUAGAGAUGUGGAGGAACACCAGUGGCGAAGGCGACUCUCUGGUCUGUAACUGACGCUGAGGAGCGAAAGCGUGGGGAGCGAACAGGAUUAGAUACCCCGGUAGUCCCUGUUUCUUAUAC